This 300-nucleotide unclassified non-coding RNA is filed under the name uncultured Tumularia. Its description in RNAcentral is "sequence contains ITS1". The stretch from base 1 to 105 matches the Rfam family "5.8S ribosomal RNA", at positions 50 to 154 of the family's 154-position model. Lineage: Eukaryota; Fungi; Ascomycota. The record is from RNAcentral.
GAAAUGCGAUAAGUAGUGUGAAUUGCAGAAUUCAGUGAAUCAUCGAAUCUUUGAACGCACAUUGCGCCCUUCGGUAUUCCGUUGGGCAUGCCUGUUCGAGCGUCAUUUAACCCUUCAAGCUUCUGCUUGGUGUUGGGCGUUUGUUCCGCCUCCGCGCGUGGACUCGCCUCAAAUUUAUUGGCAGCCGGUAAGUUGGCUUCGUGCGCAGCACAUUGCGUCGCGUCUCCAGCCUGCCCCCUUCCAACAAGCCUUUAUUAUCACUUUGACCUCGGAUCAGGUAGGGAUACCCGCUGAACUUAA